UACGGGGGGGGUAAGCGUUGUUCGGAAUUACUGGGCGUAAAGGGCUCGUAGGCAGCCAACUAAGUCAUACGUGAAAUCCCUCAGCUUAACUGGGGAACUGCGUGUGAUACUGGAUGGCUUGAAUCCGGGAGAGGGAUGCGGAAUUCCAGGUGUAGCGGUGAAAUGCGUAGAUAUCUGGAGGAACACCGGUGGCGAAGGCGGCAUCCUGGACCGGUAUUGACGCUGAGGCGCGAAAGCCAGGGGAGCAAACGGG
This 253-nucleotide ribosomal RNA is filed under the name uncultured bacterium. RNAcentral describes it as "partial 16S ribosomal RNA". It matches the Rfam family "Bacterial small subunit ribosomal RNA", at positions 524 to 776 of the family's 1533-position model. The record is from RNAcentral.